This 440-nucleotide ribosomal RNA is filed under the name uncultured bacterium. RNAcentral's name for it is "partial 16S ribosomal RNA". It matches the Rfam family "Bacterial small subunit ribosomal RNA", at positions 338 to 795 of the family's 1533-position model. The record is from RNAcentral.
CCUACGUGCGGCAGCAGUGGGGAAUAUUGCACAAUGGGGGAAACCCUGAUGCAGCGACGCCGCGUGUGUGAAGAAGUAUUUCGGUAUGUAAAGCUCUAUCAGCAGGGAAGAAAAUGACGGUACCUGAUUAAGCAGCCCCCGCUAACUACGUGCCAGCAGCCGCGGUCAUACGUAGGGGGCAAACGUUAUCCGGUUUUACUGGGUGUAACGGGAGCGUAGACUGCAGCACAAGUCUGGCGUGAAAUGCCGGGGCUUAACCCCGGAACUGCUUUGGAAACUGUGCGGCUAGAGUGCAGGAGAGGUAAGUGGAAUUCCUAGUGUAGCGGUGAAAUGCGUAGAGAUUAGGAGGAACACCAGUGGCGAAGGCGGCUUACUGGACUGUAACUGACGUUGAGGCUCGAAAGCGUGGGGAGCAAACAGGAUUAGAUACCCGAGUAGUC